Molecule: long non-coding RNA, 2159 nt
Filed under: Salmo salar (Atlantic salmon)
Lineage: Eukaryota; Metazoa; Chordata; Actinopteri; Salmoniformes; Salmonidae
Description: lncRNA (ENSSSAG00000088822.1)
Source: RNAcentral
CGACAUUUUCAAGGAUGAGUACAACUAUUUUUAUGACAAGUGGUUACUGCUGUCUGCCCUAGUGUAGUGAUUACUGAUGUCUGACCUAGUGCCUAGUGUAGUGGUUACUGCUGUCUACCCUAGUGUAGUGGUUACUGCUGUCUACCCUAGUAUAGUGGUUACUGCAGUCUGCUCUAGUGUAGUGGUUACUGCUGUCUACCCUAGUGUAGUGGUUACUGCUGUCUACCCUAGUGUAGUGGUUACUGCUCUCUGCUCUAGUGUAGUGGUUACUGCUGUCUGCUCUAGUGUAGUGGUUACUGCUGUCUGCCCUAGUGUAGUGGUUACUGCUGUCUACCCUAGUGCCUAGUGUAGUGGUUACUGCUGUCUGCUCUAGUGUAGUGGUUACUGCUCUCUACCCUAGUGUAGUGGUUACUGCUGUCUGCACUAGUGUAGUGGUUACUGCUGUCUGCCCUAGUGUAGUGGUUACUGCUGUCUACCCUAGUGUAGUGGUUACUGCUGUCUACCCUAGUGUAGUGGUUACUGCUGUCUACCCUAGUGUAGUGGUUACUGCUGUCUGCUCUAGUGUAGUGGUUACUGCUGUCUGCCCUAGUGUAGUGGUUACAGUGAGCUGUGUGUUGGGUAUAGAGACAUAUUACCAUGGGUUAUAGUGGGCUUUGUGUUGUGUAUAGAGACAUAUUAACAUGGGUUAUAGUGGGCUGUGUGUCGGGUAUAGAGACGUAUUACCAUGGGUUAUUGUGGGCUGUGUGUUGGGUAUAGAGACAUAUUUCCAUGUGUUAUAAUGGGCUGUGUGUUGGGUAUAGAGACAUAUUACAAUGGGUUAUAGUGGGCUGUGUGUUGGUUAUAGAGACAUAUUACCAAGGUUUAUAGUGGGAUGUGUGUUAGGUAUAGAGACAUAUUACCAAGGGUUAUAGUGGGCUGUCAGUCGGGUAUAGAGACAUAUUACCAUGGGUUAUAGUGGGCUGUGUGUUGGGUAUAGAGACAUAUUACCAUGGGUUAUAGUGGGCUGUGUGUCAGGUAUAGAGACAUAUUACCAUGGGUUAUAGUGGGCUGUGUGUUGGGUAUAGAGACAUAUUACCAUGGGUUAUAGUGGGCUGUGUGUUGGGUAUAGAGACAUAUUACCAUGGGUUAUAGUGGGCUGUGUGUUGGGUAUAGAGACAUAUUACCAUGGGUUAUAGUGGGCUGUGUGUUAGGUAUAGAGACAUAUUACCAUGGGUUAUAGUGGGCUGUGUGUUGGGUAUAGAGACAUAUUACCAUGUGUUAUAGUGGGCUGUGUGUUGGGUAUAGAGACAUAUUACCAUGGGUUAUAGUGGGCUGUGUGUUGGGUAUAGAGACAUAUUACCAUGGGUUAUAGUGGGCUGUGUGUUAGGUAUAGAGACAUAUUACCAUGGGUUAUAGUGGGCUGUGUGUCGGGUAUAGAGACAUAUUACCAUGGGUUAUAGUGGGCUGUGUGUUAGGUAUAGAGACAUAUUACCAUGGGUUAUAGUGGGCUGUGUGUUGGGUAUAUAGACAUAUUACCAUGGGUUAUAGUGGGCUGUGUGUUAGGUAUAGAGACAUAUUACCAUUGGUUAUAGUGGGCUUUGUGUUGUGUAUAGAGACAUAUUACCAUGGGUUAUAGUGGGCUUUGUGUUGUGUAUAGAGACAUAUUAACAUGGGUUAUAGUGGGCUUUGUGUCGGGUAUAGAGACAUAUUAACAUGGGUUAUAGUGGGCUGUGUGUUAGGUAUAGAGACAUAUUACCAUGGGUUAUAGUAGGCUGUGUGUUGGGUAUAGAGACAUAUUACCAUGGGUUAUAGUGGGCUGUGUGUCGGGUAUAGAGACGUAUUACCAUGGGUUAUAGUGGGCUGUGUGUUGGGUAUAGAGACAUAUUACCAUGGGUUAUAGUGGGCUGUGUGUUGGGUAUAGUGACAUAUUACCAUGGGUUAUAGUGGGCUGUGUAUUGGGUAUAGAGACAUAUUACCAUGGGUUAUAGUGGGCUGUGUGUUAGGUAUAGUGACAUAUACCAUGGGUUAUAGUGGGCUGUGUGUUAAUUAUUGAGACAUAUUACCAUGGGUUAUAGUGGGCUGUGUGUCGGGUAUAAAGACAUAUUACCAUGGGUUAUAGUGGGCUGUGUGUUAGAUUUAGACACAUAUUACAAUGGGUUAUAGUGUGCUGUGUGUUAGGU